UUAAGUUCAGCGGGUAGUCCUACCUGAUUUGAGGUCAGAUUUCAAAAAUGCUUAUUGACCACCACCCUGAAGAAGAGGCGGUCCAAGCGGGGCACGGUCGCCGAUCUGUCUCGAUGGAGCGAGGAUGGUACAACGCCCAGUCGAGUUUGACCAGCAGGCCCAACCGACGCAUUUGAGGGGAGCCGGCCUUGCGGCGGCAA
This 200-nucleotide unclassified non-coding RNA is filed under the name Trechisporales sp. RNAcentral describes it as "partial internal transcribed spacer 2". Lineage: Eukaryota; Fungi; Basidiomycota; Agaricomycetes; Trechisporales. The record is from RNAcentral.